Molecule: long non-coding RNA, 1122 nt
Organism: Scleropages formosus (Asian bonytongue)
Lineage: Eukaryota; Metazoa; Chordata; Actinopteri; Osteoglossiformes; Osteoglossidae
Exons: 4
Source: RefSeq, a predicted model, not a curated record
UGCAAAAUUCACAGCCAUUACUUUUUCUGUAUUUAUUAAUGACAGUUCAGCUGAAAAUCGUUGAGGAACAAAGAUUGCUGCCUUAAUGAAGAAUGGGCCGUCUAAAAACACGGAAAAAAAAAUUAAAACGUAAAUAAUAUGUUGUAAGACAUUAUUUCAGGAGUAAGGUUCGGUUCUAAAUGUUCUAAAAUUUAAUAAGCAUGUAUGCGGGCAAAUAUGUGUGUGUGAAUAAACAGACUAAGUGCAGGGUUUCCCCUAUUUCAGUCUCUUGGCUUGGCUUUCAGACUGUGCCCAGGGCCAUGCGGGCACCGUACGGGCAACCUGCGGGCUCCGCUCCUUCACACGGGCGCGCACACGGGAGCGCGACCCAGGGAAACGCCCAGAAUCUCUACCCAUCAUCACUAUUCACUGGGUCUUAUAGCGCGUCUAUUUGGGAACCGAGUUCAUUUUAAGAAUCAUAAAGUGGGGAAAGUUUGUUUUAAAAAUGCGUUGUCAACGGCGUACGUAACAGGGUAAGAAGAUAAUCAUGCUGCGACUUAUAUACUUCUGAACUGAACAACUGGAGACCGCUAUUAUUAUCAAGAUGUAGCGCCAGCAGGUCUGCGGCUCCUUAUGCCGCCCGUGAACCCUACAGACUCACCCGUGAGAAGAAGCGCAGAUCAAAUGCGGCAUGUGUCAAGGUGUGUGUGUCUGUUCGUCCCCACCCCCAAACUGCUCUGCCAGUGUACUACGAGGGGAACAUGCAAGAAAUGGAUAAUUUAUUGCGAGCAACUAGGAGAAAGAGCCCACACACCCUGAGCCGGCCCUGCAUCCUCAGACAUCGCCACUGUCGCCAGUUCUCUUUACACUCUUCAGUGUUUGCUCCUCUUGUCUUCACACCGGGUAUGGCCAACCGGCAUCUGCAGCACGGCAAGGGAUCGCCUAAUCCCCGACAAUGCCUUUGUUUUUUGUUUACAUUCUAAUAAAUAUUAUUAAGUAUUUCAAUCCAUAUACCUGUAUAGUGGAUCACUGAAGCCAUAAGUAUUCAGUGUACUUUAAGAAAUCAAGGAUGGUUGCUAGAGGCAAGGAAAGAGAUUUUCACAUGGACGGUUGGGCCCUUAUUUUUUCCACAUCUCUCAAGUU